This 323-nucleotide long non-coding RNA is filed under the name Physcomitrium patens. RNAcentral's name for it is "long non-coding RNA (PPAT_LNC009394)". Lineage: Eukaryota; Viridiplantae; Streptophyta; Bryopsida; Funariales; Funariaceae. The record is from RNAcentral.
AAUAAAUAAAAAAUAAUCCUAAAGAAAUAUUAAAAAUAAAAAUCUUAAUGUAACCUUAAUUGAAAUCUUAAUUGAAUCUUAAUCAAAUCCAAGGUCAAAUCCUAAUAAAACCAUAGACAAAUCUUAAUCAAAUCUUAAUCAAGUUUUAAAUCAAAUCCUAAUCCUAAUCAAAUCCAAGAUCAAAUCCUAAGCCCUAACUAAACCAUAGACAAAUUCUAAAUCAAAUCCUAAGUCCUAAUCAAACCAUAUACAAAUUCUAAAUCAAAUCCUAAGCCCUAAUCAAACCAUAUACAAAUUCUAAAUCAAAUCCUAAUCAAAUCCUA